Molecule: non-coding RNA, 2004 nt
Organism: Cyanistes caeruleus (blue tit)
Lineage: Eukaryota; Metazoa; Chordata; Aves; Passeriformes; Paridae
Source: RefSeq, a predicted model, not a curated record
UAACACAUGAAAGCCUUGGUGAUGUCAGCCUGCAUCACGCUGGGCAUUCAGGGUUCUGCUGACCCAGGAGCACAUCACCCAUUCCAGCUCUGCCAGUAGGUUCAGUCUAUAAAUGAGGUUUGAAUGCUGCUGUGGGAAGGAGGGGAGCUGUUCAGACAUUUGCCCCAGUUCCUGCAGUUGUUGCAGUGCUUUGUAAGCUGGCUGGGCUCCAUCCAGCCUUGCAUGGAAAUCUUGCUUUAGGGCCGAGGGCUUGGCAUUGUUGCAUAGAAUGCUCCUCUAGCUUGCCACUGCUUCAAGAAACCAUUGAUUAUUGGCAAUUUCUCCCUAAGUUUAUUUUUAACUACUUGAGAGUACUUUUAUAUGUAAAGGAUGUAGACAGCACAUAUUUACCUGGGGACAAAAAAGCAGGUUCUUGUUUGUCUGACAGAAGGAGAGUCAGCUGAUGAGUGCCUGAGUCAGCUUUUUAAAUACUGCAGGCCUAAACACCACUCCAACAGUUUACUCAUUUCGGUAAAGAUUUGGGUAUUUGAGUGGAGCAGUCACUAGUAAUUAUCCAAGUCAGUCUGACGCUUAUUAUCUUUAAUUAUGGAAAAAUAAGUUUUCCUUGCAGCUUGCAACAGCGUACAAGUGUGUGGUAUCAAAAUCACACUGUGUUUUCUGUCACAGUUUCUACUUAUUCCUUCAGAAUGUCUGCAAGUGAACAAAUCCACUGAGCCUUGCUGAGAUUUUACCUGAUAUUACCCAUGGAGUUCUUCACUUCAGAAACAGAUGCAAGAAGUGAUGGAUGGCACAAAAAAAUCAGCUUUUUCAAUGUUUAUUGGCUGGAAAAAGAGCAGGUGACCACAUCAGGAACACACAGUUUAGUGCAGUCUGAAGAUUUCAUGAUGGACUCCAUCCCACUGCUGAGUGGAGAUUUCUUCUCCUCAGACAGAAGACAUAAAUUUGACACCAACCAAGAGAAAAUUAGAGACUCCCUUGAGAUACAGAUCCAGAUGAGGUUGUGACCCCAAAUUGAGUCCAAAAGGAAGAGCAGCAGAAUGAGUGAGGCGUUGCCCCAGUGAAUGUCAAACAUUGCAGCUAUGUAGGAGUGGCCAGCCUGCAGCUCACAUCUGCUGGUUUUAUCUGCAAAGAACUUUCCCAAGAUGAGGUACCUACUCCCCAGUGUAAAUUGAGUUAUGAAAAUGCAGGAAAAUAUAUGAACUAGGCCUCACUGAUUUUUAUUAGUCUGAGUUGUAAAGAUUUACACAUAUGAAAAUGACAAUACCUUUCAUCUUGGAUGCUUAAACUGCAGGGUUGGAAUAGUCUGUAGGUAGAAAUUGCAGAUUGGUGAGUUCUGUGAUAGGUAAGACAAAAAGCCUUGUGUAUUUAGAAAUAUACUUUAAACGCUUUAUACACUAGGAUUUCAAAAUCAGUAGAAAUCCAUGCUAACAAAGUAAAACACAUAUCUUUUAAGUACAGCUUACACUGUCAAUAUGCAGAUUUUUGGAAAAUGCUUUGAACUGUGCCAUAAAAUCCAUGCAAGAGAUUAAAAAUUCCAUGUACUCCUUGGACACUUUCUCAUGUAGUCUCCAUUUGCUACAGAAAAAGUGAUUUGCUUGAGACUGAUAGCAUUCCCUCCAGUGCCAAAGUGCACUUAUCCUUAAUCAUCAAGGUGAACAAUGCUUCCCUCAGGGCACUACCUUUCUUCAGGUGAAAUUAAUCCUGAGAUUCUUGGUAUUAAGAGGCUCCCCAGAGGAAGGGUUGUGGAAAAAAGUUGUGGUUUUCUGAAAUGCAUCUGGUAAAAGAAGUUAAAAAUUGUCUGCUUUGGUUUGCAAAGAUGCAGUGUGUGACUUUUGAUACCAGAGUGAUGAAGGAAAUGUCAUCACAUCCCUGCUUAUAUUUUGGUUUGUCUUUUCUUUUUCUCACUGUCUAACCCAUGCACAGAUACACAUGCAAUCAAGGUUGAAAAAGUUUAUAACUAAUCCAAGAGCAAAUUAAAGCUAAUUCUCAACUACUUUAGAAAUA